RNAcentral lists this non-coding RNA (107 nucleotides) under Anaerolineae bacterium. RNAcentral's name for it is "Glycine sequence". It matches the Rfam family "Glycine riboswitch aptamer". From Rfam's summary of the family: This family represents the bacterial glycine riboswitch. Glycine riboswitches usually consist of two metabolite-binding aptamers domains with similar structures in tandem. Lineage: Bacteria; Bacillati; Chloroflexota; Anaerolineae. The record is from RNAcentral.
UCAAGGUUUUGCGGAGACAUGUCAGGUCUGAACAGAGCGCCGAAGGUGCAAAUCUGGAACAGGCGAACCCAGAUGAAACUCUCAGGCAAAAGGACCCUGCUCCCGAA